UAACUAAGUAAAACUUCUUUCAUUGUUUCAGAUUCCACAUAAACAUUACUGAAUCUUGGCAAAAGGACAUCGCGAAACUUCUCAGUAUCCCAUAUAAACAUUACUGAGUCUUGGCAAAAGGACACCGCGAAACUUUUUAGUAUUCCAUAUAAACAUUACUGAAUCAUGGCAAAAGAACACCGCGAACCUUCACAAUGUCCCAUGUAAACAUUACUGGAUCUUGCACUAAGGGAACAGCUAAAUUUUAGAUGAUUUGAUGGUGACCAGUUUUUGACAUUGACGACAUCCUUCUACCACCAUGGACCUUCUCCACCCAGUCAGCAUCUUUCAGAGAAUGGGGGAAAUUAACCACCUUUACGCAUUUAUGGUGCAUGUAAAUUAUUAUGUACUUUUUGUUAUAAGGAUAUGUAAAAAAGUAGAUUUAUUGAACAAAAUUUAAGUUAAAUAACU
Long non-coding RNA from Agrilus planipennis (emerald ash borer), 450 nucleotides. RefSeq lists it as uncharacterized. The record is from RefSeq and is a predicted model, not a curated record. NCBI's taxonomy places the organism in Eukaryota, Metazoa, Arthropoda, Insecta, Coleoptera, Buprestidae. The transcript has 5 exons.